AGCCUGAUGCAGCCAUGCCGCGUGUAUGAAGAAGGCCUUCGGGUUGUAAAGUACUUUCAGCAGUGAGGAAGGUAGAGUGUUAAUAGCACAUUAUUUGACGUUAGCUGCAGAAGAAGCACCGGCUAACUCCGUGCCAGCAGCCGCGGUAAUACGGAGGGUGCGAGCGUUAAUCGGAAUUACUGGGCGUAAAGCGCAUGCAGGUGGAUGAUUAAGUCAGAUGUGAAAGCCCGGGGCUCAACCUCGGAAUAGCAUUUGAAACUGGUCAUCUAGAGUACUGUAGAGGGGGGUAGAAUUUCAGGUGUAGCGGUGAAAUGCGUAGAGAUCUGAAGGAAUACCGGUGGCGAAGGCGGCCCCCUGGACAGAUACUGACACUCAGAUGCGAAAGCGUGGGGAGCAAACAGGAUUAGAUACCCUGGUAGUCCACGCCGUAAACGAUGUCUACUUGGAGGUUGUGGCCUUGAGCCGUGGCUUUCGGAGCUAACGCGUUAAGUAGACCGCCUGGG
Molecule: ribosomal RNA, 503 nt
Filed under: Vibrio sp. 4WN22
Lineage: Bacteria; Pseudomonadati; Pseudomonadota; Gammaproteobacteria; Vibrionales; Vibrionaceae
Description: bacterial SSU rRNA
Rfam family: Bacterial small subunit ribosomal RNA
Source: RNAcentral